Armillaria mellea is the source of this 119-nucleotide non-coding RNA. NCBI's taxonomy places the organism in Eukaryota, Fungi, Basidiomycota, Agaricomycetes, Agaricales, Physalacriaceae. The record is from the annotation of a GenBank genome assembly.
GGUGAGAUGGCCGAGCGGUUAAGGCGCCAGACUAAGGUUGAUCGAUCAUCGGGACCAAGUCACAUGGUGAUCAUAAAAUCUGGUCCGAAAGGGCGUGGGUUCGAAUCCCACUCUCAUCA